Molecule: RNase P RNA, 237 nt
Filed under: unidentified bacterium vB11
Lineage: Bacteria
Description: partial RNAase P
Rfam family: Bacterial RNase P class A
About the family: Ribonuclease P (RNase P) is a ubiquitous endoribonuclease, found in archaea, bacteria and eukarya as well as chloroplasts and mitochondria. Its best characterised activity is the generation of mature 5'-ends of tRNAs by cleaving the 5'-leader elements of precursor-tRNAs.
Source: RNAcentral
GAGGAAAGUCCGGGCUCCACAGAGCAGGAUGCCGGCUAACGGCCGGACGCCGCGAGGCGAGGAAUAGGGCCACAGAGACGAGCGUAUACAGUACGGUGAAACGCGGUAACCUCCAUCCGGAGCAACACCAAAUAGGCAGGCGAUGAAGCGGCUCGCUGAGUCUGCGGGUAGGUGGCUUGAGCCGGUCAGCAAUGGCCGGCCUAGAGGANUGGUUGCCCACGACAGAACCCGGCUUAU